Molecule: ribosomal RNA, 440 nt
Filed under: uncultured bacterium
Lineage: Bacteria
Description: partial 16S ribosomal RNA
Rfam family: Bacterial small subunit ribosomal RNA
Source: RNAcentral
CCUACGGGCGGCAGCAGUGGGGGAUAUUGCACAAUGGGGGAAACCCUGAUGCAGCGACGCCGCGUGGGUGAAGAAGCGCCUCGGCGCGUAAAGCCCUGUCAGCAGGGAAGAAAAUGACGGUACCUGAAGAAGAAGCCCCGGCUAACUACGUGCCAGCAGCCGCGGUAAUACGUAGGGGGCAAGCGUUAUCCGGAUUUACUGGGUGUAAAGGGGGCGCAGACGGGGAUGCAAGCCAGGAGUGAAAGCCCGGGGCCCAACCCCGGGACUGCUCGUGGAACUGCGUGGCUAGAGUGCAGGAGGGGCAGGCGGAAUUCCUGGUGUAGCGGUGAAAUGCGUAGAUAUCAGGAGGAACACCGGUGGCGAAGGCGGCCUGCUGGACUGCAACUGACGUUGAGGCCCGAAAGCGUGGGGAGCAAACAGGAUUAGAUACCCCAGUAGUC